RNAcentral lists this ribosomal RNA (531 nucleotides) under Micromonospora halotolerans. Its description in RNAcentral is "bacterial SSU rRNA". It matches the Rfam family "Bacterial small subunit ribosomal RNA", at positions 375 to 916 of the family's 1533-position model. Lineage: Bacteria; Bacillati; Actinomycetota; Actinomycetes; Micromonosporales; Micromonosporaceae. The record is from RNAcentral.
GCGGAAGCCUGAUGCAGCGACGCCGCGUGAGGGAUGACGGCCUUCGGGUUGUAAACCUCUUUCAGCAGGGACGAAGCGUAAGUGACGGUACCUGCAGAAGAAGCGCCGGCCAACUACGUGCCAGCAGCCGCGGUAAGACGUAGGGCGCGAGCGUUGUCCGGAUUUAUUGGGCGUAAAGAGCUCGUAGGCGGCUUGUCGCGUCGACUGUGAAAACCCGCAGCUCAACUGCGGGCCUGCAGUCGAUACGGGCAGGCUAGAGUUCGGUAGGGGAGACUGGAAUUCCUGGUGUAGCGGUGAAAUGCGCAGAUAUCAGGAGGAACACCGGUGGCGAAGGCGGGUCUCUGGGCCGAUACUGACGCUGAGGAGCGAAAGCGUGGGGAGCGAACAGGAUUAGAUACCCUGGUAGUCCACGCUGUAAACGUUGGGCGCUAGGUGUGGGGGGCCUCUCCGGUUCCCUGUGCCGCAGCUAACGCAUUAAGCGCCCCGCCUGGGGGGUACGGCCGCAAGGCUAAAACUCAAAGGAAUUGACGG